Molecule: ribosomal RNA, 492 nt
Filed under: uncultured bacterium
Lineage: Bacteria
Description: partial 16S ribosomal RNA
Rfam family: Bacterial small subunit ribosomal RNA
Source: RNAcentral
AGUGAACGCUGGCGGUAGGCCUAACACAUGCAAGUCGAACGGCAGCACAGUAAGAGCUUGCUCUUACGGGUGGCGAGUGGAGGACGGGUGAGGAAUACAUCGGAAUCUACUUUUUCGUGGGGGAUAACGUAGGGAAACUUACGCUAAUACCGCAUACGACCUACGGGUGAAAGCAGGGGAUCUUCGGACCUUGCGCGAUUGAAUGAGCCGAUGUCGGAUUAGCUAGUUGGCGGGGUAAAGGCCCACCAAGGCGACGAUCCGUAGCUGGUCUGAGAGGAUGAUCAGCCACACUGGAACUGAGACACGUUCCAGACUCCUACGGGAGGCAGCAGUGGGGAAUAUUGGACAAUGGGCGCAAGCCUGAUCCAGCCAUACCGCGUGGGUGAAGAAGGCCUUCGGGUUGUAAAGCCCUUUUGUUGGGAAAGAAAAGCAGCAGGUUAAUACCCCGCUGUUCUGACGGUACCCAAAGAAUAAGCACCGGCUAACUUCGUG